RNAcentral lists this ribosomal RNA (1088 nucleotides) under Vibrio sp. 7839M. RNAcentral describes it as "bacterial SSU rRNA". It matches the Rfam family "Bacterial small subunit ribosomal RNA", at positions 380 to 1459 of the family's 1533-position model. Lineage: Bacteria; Pseudomonadati; Pseudomonadota; Gammaproteobacteria; Vibrionales; Vibrionaceae. The record is from RNAcentral.
AGCCUGAUGCGCCAUGCCGCGUGUAUGAAGAAGGCCUUCGGGUUGUAAAGUACUUUCAGUUGUGAGGAAGGGGGUGUCGUUAAUAGCGGCAUCUCUUGACGUUAGCAACAGAAGAAGCACCGGCUAACUCCGUGCCAGCAGCCGCGGUAAUACGGAGGGUGCGAGCGUUAAUCGGAAUUACUGGGCGUAAAGCGCAUGCAGGUGGUUCAUUAAGUCAGAUGUGAAAGCCCGGGGCUCAACCUCGGAACUGCAUUUGAAACUGGUGAACUAGAGUACUGUAGAGGGGGGUAGAAUUUCAGGUGUAGCGGUGAAAUGCGUAGAGAUCUGAAGGAAUACCAGUGGCGAAGGCGGCCCCCUGGACAGAUACUGACACUCAGAUGCGAAAGCGUGGGGAGCAAACAGGAUUAGAUACCCUGGUAGUCCACGCCGUAAACGAUGUCUACUUGGAGGUUGUGGCCUUGAGCCGUGGCUUUCGGAGCUAACGCGUUAAGUAGACCGCCUGGGGAGUACGGUCGCAAGAUUAAAACUCAAAUGAAUUGACGGGGGCCCGCACAAGCGGUGGAGCAUGUGGUUUAAUUCGAUGCAACGCGAAGAACCUUACCUACUCUUGACAUCCAGAGAAGCCAGCGGAGACGCAGGUGUGCCUUCGGGAGCUCUGAGACAGGUGCUGCAUGGCUGUCGUCAGCUCGUGUUGUGAAAUGUUGGGUUAAGUCCCGCAACGAGCGCAACCCUUAUCCUUGUUUGCCAGCGAGUAAUGUCGGGAACUCCAGGGAGACUGCCGGUGAUAAACCGGAGGAAGGUGGGGACGACGUCAAGUCAUCAUGGCCCUUACGAGUAGGGCUACACACGUGCUACAAUGGCGCAUACAGAGGGCGGCGAACUUGCGAGAGUGAGCGAAUCCCAAAAAGUGCGUCGUAGUCCGGAUUGGAGUCUGCAACUCGACUCCAUGAAGUCGGAAUCGCUAGUAAUCGUAGAUCAGAAUGCUACGGUGAAUACGUUCCCGGGCCUUGUACACACCGCCCGUCACACCAUGGGAGUGGGCUGCAAAAGAAGUGGGUAGUUUAACCUUUCGGGGAGGACGCUCACCA